GAUGAACGCUGGCGGCGUGCCUAAUACAUGCAAGUCGAGCGAACGGACGAGAAGCUUGCUUCUCUGAUGUUAGCGGCGGACGGGUGAGUAACACGUGGAUAACCUACCUAUAAGACUGGGAUAACUUCGGGAAACCGGAGCUAAUACCGGAUAAUAUUUUGAACCGCAUGGUACAAAAGUGAAAGACGGUCUUGCUGUCACUUAUAGAUGGAUCCGCGCUGCAUUAGCUAGUUGGUAAGGUAACGGCUUACCAAGGCAACGAUGCAUAGCCGACCUGAGAGGGUGAUCGGCCACACUGGAACUGAGACACGGUCCAGACUCCUACGGGAGGCAGCAGUAGGGAAUCUUCCGCAAUGGGCGAAAGCCUGACGGAGCAACGCCGCGUGAGUGAUGAAGGUCUUCGGAUCGUAAAACUCUGUUAUUAGGGAAGAACAUAUGUGUAAGUAACUGUGCACAUCUUGACGGUACCUAAUCAGAAAGCCACGGCUAACUACGUGCCAGCAGCCGCGGUAAUACGUAGGUGGCAAGCGUUAUCCGGAAUUAUUGGGCGUAAAGCGCGCGUAGGCGGUUUUUUAAGUCUGAUGUGAAAGCCCACGGCUCAACCGUGGAGGGUCAUUGGAAACUGGAAAACUUGAGUGCAGAAGAGGAAAGUGGAAUUCCAUGUGUAGCGGUGAAAUGCGCAGAGAUAUGGAGGAACACCAGUGGCGAAGGCGACUUUCUGGUCUGUAACUGACGCUGAUGUGCGAAAGCGUGGGGAUCAAACAGGAUUAGAUACCCUGGUAGUCCACGCCGUAAACGAUGAGUGCUAAGUGUUAGGGGGUUUCCGCCCCUUAGUGCUGCAGCUAACGCAUUAAGCACUCCGCCUGGGGAGUACGACCGCAAGGUUGAAACUCAAAGGAAUUGACGGGGACCCGCACAAGCGGUGGAGCAUGUGGUUUAAUUCGAAGCAACGCGAAGAACCUUACCAAAUCUUGACAUCCUUUGACAACUCUAGAGAUAGAGCCUUCCCCUUCGGGGGACAAAGUGACAGGUGGUGCAUGGUUGUCGUCAGCUCGUGUCGUGAGAUGUUGGGUUAAGUCCCGCAACGAGCGCAACCCUUAAGCUUAGUUGCCAUCAUUAAGUUGGGCACUCUAAGUUGACUGCCGGUGACAAACCGGAGGAAGGUGGGGAUGACGUCAAAUCAUCAUGCCCCUUAUGAUUUGGGCUACACACGUGCUACAAUGGACAACACAAAGGGCAGCGAAACCGCGAGGUCAAGCAAAUCCCAUAAAGUUGUUCUCAGUUCGGAUUGUAGUCUGCAACUCGACUACAUGAAGCUGGAAUCGCUAGUAAUCGUAGAUCAGCAUGCUACGGUGAAUACGUUCCCGGGUCU
This 1372-nucleotide ribosomal RNA is filed under the name uncultured bacterium. RNAcentral describes it as "bacterial SSU rRNA". It matches the Rfam family "Bacterial small subunit ribosomal RNA", at positions 28 to 1381 of the family's 1533-position model. The record is from RNAcentral.